AUUUUUGAAGUCAAUGAAACCAAGAACCCACCAAUUCUGGACACACCAGGACAUUCUCUAUUUUUAUUUGCUGAAACUGGCAACACUAAGUGCGGGGCACCAGACACUGCUGUGGCUCAGGCAUCUCGCUAUGGAUAAGUGGUUCAUCUUUCAGCCUGGGGAAGCAGCCAGAUCUGGAACACCUCCAGCAAUUGCCAUAUCCUUCAGCUUCAGAAGGCCGCCAGCAGGGGUCAGUUGUUGGCUGUUUGAGAGGCUUCCAGCUUUUUGGCUAUUAUAAAUAAUGCUGCCACGAUCAUUCACAUCUUUGGUGGACAUCAGUUUUCAUUCCUCUCAAGUAAAUGCCUAGGAUGGAAUUGCUACGUUGUGUGAUCAUGGGCUUCCAAUGCAUUGCUUGAUUUUCUGUGGGAGGAAAGUGCUUUUGAAGUUCCAAAUCCAAUCCCUGAAGCAAGAUUAAUAAUCAAAGAUCCUCUCCAGUGUGCAAAUCCUCAUGGGAUUUAGGUGGAUUGCUACAGCCUAGUCCCGAGGCAUGUGGCACACCUGUACGUUGCCACAAAUAGUUCAGAAAUAACACCAGUUCAUGUCUACAACAAGGCCUUUGAACUUGAGUAUUCUCUUUCUGGUAUUCAAUGCUGGAGCUGCAGUGAGAGCGUGCAGUUCCCUAAAUUUUGCCCCCGAGGAACCUUACUUGUCUCACCAUAAUCUCAGUUCAUUUGAACACUUCUCCAGAUACUCUGUAGGAAUACAACGGAGUUAGCUUGUUUCAAGGGAGAGUUUUUUUAUUGGGAAGAUGACCUAACUGGCUAAGUCCAAGUUUGUGGAAACAACAUAUCUGAGGAAUCCGAAUCAGAUCAAUGAAAUAGAGUUUCUAGCAGCUGCACUGUGAAUAACGUCCUGAAAGAUGCUGCUGCUGGAACUCGAUUCCACAGCUAUGGGUGUUUGUUGGAAGGCACCCAAAAGGGAUUCCAAGGGCCCUGCCUCUACUGACUGCCGUUUAUUCUUAAAGCACUAGGCUCAACAGUUGAGCUUUGUGUGGUAUUGAGUGGGUUUUAUGAUUACUUGUUUGCCAUUGUUAGUGUCAGCCUGUCAACACCUUGAAGGGCAGAGCAUUUUUGUUUGUUUUGAAAAUUACUCAAUAGCAAAUCCUUAAUUAUACAGCAGUAUGGCUUUUUGAAAGGUUGAGUGAUGUACUGCUGUUGUUUUAGAUUUCUUUCAUGCUAAAUCUUAUGAGGUGCAUAGCCUUCAAUAACUAAAUGCAAAUAAUGCAAUCGAAUCCCACUUGAGCCUGCCAUUAAUUAUCUCACAUUUAUCUUCAUUUCCAGGCUGGUGAUAUGGGCCAGCAUUCAAGACAACUAGAAAAAAUAUCCAGUAAAGGUUUUGAAGUUCCUUUAUGUGCAGGGAUUUAUGAUACACAGACACGUGUGAACCAUACACACAUACAUGCAUGUAUACACACAUACAUGCAUGUAUGCACA
Molecule: long non-coding RNA, 1472 nt
Filed under: Homo sapiens (human)
Lineage: Eukaryota; Metazoa; Chordata; Mammalia; Primates; Hominidae
Description: HSALNT0318614
Source: RNAcentral